UCCCGUUUGCUGUAGCCCUAAUUCCUCCUUUCCUCUUUUGGUAUUUCAUUUUCCCGUCCCACAGCCACAGCCCACAGCCGUCACCCCGCAGCCACACCUCAAUCCCCGCAGCCUCCAUUCUCACCGCCAGGCGCCAUCCUCCAUUCUUACCGCAGCCUCCAUUCUCACCCCACCCCGCAGCCUUCAUUCUCACCGCCUGCCUCCAUUCUCCUAAUUUUUUCUUUUCCCCUUUCUGUCAACUCUUUUCCCGUUCCACACCUGCAGCCGCAGCUGCACCUUCCUGACAAAAGCAGCCGACUGAAUCAAGCGACUAAAUUCCUUCCUUGGCCAGUAGCUCGCCUGAUUCUUGCCACCGUCACUGACUCACCAUACGGAGCAGCCAUACGGAGCCACCUCGGUAGAGCCAGGGGCCUCUACCAUACCCCGAUUCACUGCAUUCUGGAAUCACUUGAUGCGGCCGAAUCAAUCACAUUUGAGGAAGUUGAACUUCCUGAAUCAUUCACGAGCUGAUUUGGUGGCUGUUGAUGUUGCUUGGUGGCUUCUGAUAUGUUUGGUGGCUGUUUAUGUAAACUUUUGAUGUUGUAAUCUGAUAUUUGGUUUGGACAUGUUAUCUGAUAUGUUUAGGGGCUGUUUAUGUAAACUUUUCAUGUUGUAAUCUGAUAUUUGGUUUGGAUAUGUUAUUUGAUAUGUUUUGGACAUGUUGUAAUCUGAUUUGGUUUGGAUAUUGUAAUCCGAGUUUUUAUAUUCGACUUGGCUUGCAAUAUUUGGCUUCAAUUCGAGCUUGUGGAAUUGAAGAUGAUA
Molecule: long non-coding RNA, 801 nt
Organism: Coffea arabica (coffee)
Lineage: Eukaryota; Viridiplantae; Streptophyta; Magnoliopsida; Gentianales; Rubiaceae
Source: RefSeq, a predicted model, not a curated record